Molecule: ribosomal RNA, 702 nt
Filed under: uncultured bacterium
Lineage: Bacteria
Description: bacterial SSU rRNA
Rfam family: Bacterial small subunit ribosomal RNA
Source: RNAcentral
AGAGUUUGAUCCUGGCUCAGGAUGAACGCUGGCGGCAUGCCUAAUACAUGCAAGUCGAACGAGGAUCCUUCGGGAUCCUAGUGGCGAACGGGUGAGUAACACGUAGGGAACCUGCCCGCGCACCGGGAAUACGCUCUGGAAACGGAGAACAAAUCCCGAUGUACAGGAAGGAGGCAUCUUCUUUCUGUGAAACAUCCUGUUAAAGGGAUGGGGCGCGGAUGGACCUGCGGUGCAUUAGUUAGUUGGCGAGGGUAAAGGCCCACCAAGACGAUGAUGCAUAGCCGGCCUGAGAGGGCGGACGGCCACAUUGGGACUGAGACACGGCCCAGACUCCUGCGGGAGGCAGCAGUAGGGAAUUUUCGUCAAUGGGCGCAAGCCUGAACGAGCGAUGCCGCGUGAGUGAAGAAGGCCUUCGGGUCGUAAAGCUCUGUUGCGGGGGAAAAAAGGCAUCUGCAAGAAAUGGUAGAUGACAGAUGGUGCCCCGCCAGAAAGUCACGGCUAACUACGUGCCAGCAGCCGCGGUAAUACGUAGGUGGCGAGCGUUAUCCGGAAUGAUUGGGCGUAAAGGGUGCGCAGGCGGUCCUGCAAGUCUGGAGUGAAACGUAUGAGCUCAACUCAUGCAUGGCUCUGGAAACUGGAGGACUGGAGAGCAGGAGAGGGCGGUGGAACUCCAUGUGUAGCGGUAAAAUGCGUAGAUAUAUG